CCUCUCGACGACGAAGAACUGGUAGCAUUUAUCCUCAAUGGGCUAGAUUUUGAAUAUAAUCCAUUGACUUUUGCUCUCAUAACUAGGGUAGAACCAAUUAUGUUGCCUAAACUGUACUCUCGGUUAUUGAGUUUUGAGA
Small nucleolar RNA from Setaria italica (foxtail millet), 139 nucleotides. It matches the Rfam family "Small nucleolar RNA Z247". Rfam says of the family: Z247 is a member of the C/D class of snoRNA which contain the C (UGAUGA) and D (CUGA) box motifs. Most of the members of the box C/D family function in directing site-specific 2'-O-methylation of substrate RNAs. NCBI's taxonomy places the organism in Eukaryota, Viridiplantae, Streptophyta, Magnoliopsida, Poales, Poaceae. The record is from Rfam.